GGGCCCGCACAAGCGGUGGAGCAUGUGGUUUAAUUCGAUGAUACGCGAGGAACCUUACCAGGGCUUAAAUGUAGUGGGACAGGUCUAGAGAUAGACCCUUCUUCGGACUCAUUACAAGGUGCUGCAUGGUUGUCGUCAGCUCGUGCCGUGAGGUGUCAGGUUAAGUCCUAUAACGAGCGCAACCCCUAUCGUUAGUUGCCAGCGAGUAAUGUCGGGAACUCUAACGAAACUGCCAGUGCAAACUGUGAGGAAGGUGGGGAUGACGUCAAAUCAUCACGGCCCUUACGUCCUGGCUACACACGUGCUACAAUGGCUAGGACAGACGGCCGCAAACCCGCGAGGGGGAG
This 347-nucleotide ribosomal RNA is filed under the name uncultured bacterium. Its description in RNAcentral is "bacterial SSU rRNA". It matches the Rfam family "Bacterial small subunit ribosomal RNA", at positions 917 to 1267 of the family's 1533-position model. The record is from RNAcentral.